CCAAGUCUUCCGCUUUCCCUCCGUAGAACUCUCUGUAUAUUUCUGCCAAGUCUUCCCCUCUCUCUCUCUAGAACGGUGUAUAAAAUGCAACCUGCACCUUCAUUUUAGAAAGAAAAACCCAUUGCACAAAAGUUAAAUACCAUCACUGCACAAGAGUUAGCGAGAGACCCAAUCUUACAAAAGUUUGAGAAUAAGAGUUAGAGAGAGAAUGAGGAGAGUUAGGGAAAUCAACAUACCGAUUAGAUCUCGAGCACCAUCGAAAAAAAGAUAUUCAAUGUCGGGUAUGUUAAGUCCGGUUGAGUUAAUAUCUGAAAAUUUUACCUUUUUAAAUAUUUACUUCACUUUCCAUAAAGUAAUAAAUUCUAGUUUUGUUUCUUGAUAAAUAAUUGUACUUGAAGAUGUAGCAAAUGAGAAUCGGUUUUAUUUUUAUUUUUUUUAUUUUAAGUGUAGUUGAUUAUAAUUGGACAUUAUAAAUUAUCUUGCCGGUAUAAGGGUAAAAAUUUUUUUAAAUACAUGUACAUCGUGUUUUAUCGUAAAGUCCUUACGGUCACUUGCCAAGGUGCAGAGGGUGCCAUGAGCCCUUGCUAGCAUUGGAGAUGACCAAGGGCACCCAAAAGCCCAGGGAUAUAUAGCAGUUGGAAAAGACCAAGGGCACCCAAAAGCUCUGGGAUACAGAAGUAAGGGUGGAGGGGCGGCCAUCGGACUAUGCUCGAGCUGUCGGGACUCUCGAGCUCGAGGCUGUUGGGUUAUCUGCUUGUAAUGACGAGGCUGUUGGGUUAUUUGCUUGACGACUGGGGGUAAUGAGGACGGACCGAGGGCUGCUGGUGCUUGACGACUGGGGGUAAUGAGGACGGACCGAGGGCUGCUGGCUCUGGAAUUUGAGUAGCGUGGGAUUGGGGGUGAUGAGGGGGAAGAAGAUUGGCUCUUAAUUGAUGAUAAAAUUUGGAGUUAACUCUCUCUGGUUCUCCUCUCUCUCUCAAAAUUUGGAACUUGCUCUGCUUCUCCUCGUUCUCUAAAGAUUCAGAUUUUGCAGCCUGUCUAAAUAUUUAGCGCAAGAAUAAGGUGUCCCUUUCUUUCUCUCUAGACUAGUACUCUCUUUCCAGGGAGGCAGACAAAAACGUAUGAAAUAUAUCUGAAUAUUUG
RNAcentral lists this long non-coding RNA (1143 nucleotides) under Amborella trichopoda. Its description in RNAcentral is "long non-coding RNA (ATRI_LNC004204)". Lineage: Eukaryota; Viridiplantae; Streptophyta; Magnoliopsida; Amborellales; Amborellaceae. The record is from RNAcentral.